GAUGAACGCUGGCGGCGUGCCUAAUACAUGCAAGUCGAGCGAACAGACGAGGAGCUUGCUCCUCUGACGUUAGCGGCGGACGGGUGAGUAACACGUGGAUAACCUACCUAUAAGACUGGGAUAACUUCGGGAAACCGGAGCUAAUACCGGAUAAUAUAUUGAACCGCAUGGUUCAAUAGUGAAAGACGGUUUUGCUGUCACUUAUAGAUGGAUCCUCGCCGCAUUAGCUAUUUGGUAAGGUAACGGCUUAUCAAGGCGACGAUGCGUAGCCGACCUGAGAGGGUGAUCGGCCACACCGGAACUGAGACACGGUCCAGACUCCUACGGGAGGCAGCAGUAGGGAAUCUUCCGCAAUGGGCGAAAGACUGACGGAGCAACGCCGCGUGAGUGAUGAAGGGCUUCGGAUCGUAAAACUCUGUUAUUAGGGAAGAACAAAUGUGUAAGUAACUAUGCACGUCUUGACGGUACCUAAUCAGAAAGCCACGGCUAACUACGUG
This 497-nucleotide ribosomal RNA is filed under the name uncultured bacterium. Its description in RNAcentral is "partial 16S ribosomal RNA". It matches the Rfam family "Bacterial small subunit ribosomal RNA", at positions 28 to 507 of the family's 1533-position model. The record is from RNAcentral.